GGGAGAGUAGCUCAGAGAUUGCAGUAAGUAAGGCCGAUGCGUCUGGAAGCUGUAACAGUGCAGAGCGGCAGGAAGCCCCUGUGACGUCGCUGGUUAGAAUCCAGCCUCUUCCACCA
This 116-nucleotide transfer RNA is filed under the name Sulfitobacter sp. R18_1. RNAcentral's name for it is "tRNA-Ala". It matches the Rfam family "tRNA". Rfam says of the family: Transfer RNA (tRNA) molecules are approximately 80 nucleotides in length. Their secondary structure includes four short double-helical elements and three loops (D, anti-codon, and T loops). Lineage: Bacteria; Pseudomonadati; Pseudomonadota; Alphaproteobacteria; Rhodobacterales; Roseobacteraceae. The record is from RNAcentral.